Small nuclear RNA from Ictalurus punctatus (channel catfish), 120 nucleotides. NCBI's taxonomy places the organism in Eukaryota, Metazoa, Chordata, Actinopteri, Siluriformes, Ictaluridae. The record is from Ensembl.
UUUUUGCAUGAAAGAAAGCUAGUACUCCCCUUGACAAGGAUGGAAGAGGUCCUUAUGACCUGCAAAAAUAUGGUUAAGGCACUACCACCUACUUUUUGGUAUCUCUUACCAUAUUUGUUU